This 497-nucleotide ribosomal RNA is filed under the name uncultured bacterium. Its description in RNAcentral is "partial 16S ribosomal RNA". It matches the Rfam family "Bacterial small subunit ribosomal RNA", at positions 28 to 507 of the family's 1533-position model. The record is from RNAcentral.
GAUGAACGCUGGCGGCGUGCCUAAUACAUGCAAGUCGAGCGAACAGACGAGGAGCUUGCUCCUUUGACGUUAGCGGCGGACGGGUGAGUAACACGUAGGUAACCUACCUAUAAGACUGGGAUAACUUCGGGAAACCGGAGCUAAUACCGGAUAAUAUUUCGAACCGCAUGGUUCGAUAGUGAAAGAUGGCUUUGCUAUCACUUAUAGAUGGUCCUGCGCCGUAUUAGCUAGUUGGUAAGGUAACGGCUUACCAAGGCAACGAUACGUAGCUGACCUGAGAGGGUGAUCGGCCACACUGGAACUGAGACACGGUCCAGACUCCUACGGGAGGCAGCAGUAGGGAAUCUUCCGCAAUGGGCGAAAGCCUGACGGAGCAACGCCGCGUGAGUGAUGAAGGUCUUCGGAUCGUAAAACUCUGUAAUUAGGGAAGAACAAACGUGUAAGUAACUGUGCACGUCUUGACGGUACCUAAUCAGAAAGCCACGGCUAACUACGUG